Molecule: long non-coding RNA, 490 nt
Organism: Vicia villosa (hairy vetch)
Lineage: Eukaryota; Viridiplantae; Streptophyta; Magnoliopsida; Fabales; Fabaceae
Exons: 2
Source: RefSeq, a predicted model, not a curated record
CCUAACUUUGAUGAUAGUAAUCAAUUGAGUUAAAGGAUACACACGACAUAUUGUUUAGAGAUUAUUAAUAUUUUAAUUUUAAUUUUAUAAAUGGCUUCUGGCAACACAUAAAAGUUAAUAAUUAUUAAAUUGAACUUUUAUUUAUAAAGUGAUGAAGAAACUCUAUUUAUUAAAUACAAAAGAGAAAAAAUAUGGCUCAACUAUUCAAUUUUGUUUAUAUUUUGAUCAUCUUUUUUUCUCUAUUUCUUGUUGAAGCCGGUAGAGGUGAAAGUGGAUAUACGACUAUUCCUUGUACUGAGAACACUGUGGAAAAAGAUUGUCCAUAUAGAGUUAAUUGUAUUCGUAGGUGCGUUUAUGGAUUUUGCGAUUACAUGAGUACGAGUAAAUGAGAUUUUCUCAAAUGUUUUAAUUUGCAGUGACUUUAUGUAAAUUCCUAUGAGAUUACAACAUGAAUAAAUAUGUUAAAUAUCAAUAUCACCAUUCUAAUGAA